AUUGGAAACGAUGGCUAAUACCGCAUAAUGCCUACGGGCCAAAGAGGGGGACCUUCGGGCCUCUCGCGUCAGGAUAUGCCUAGGUGGGAUUAGCUAGUUGGUGAGGUAAUGGCUCACCAAGGCGACGAUCCCUAGCUGGUCUGAGAGGAUGAUCAGCCACACUGGAACUGAGACACGGUCCAGACUCCUACGGGAGGCAGCAGUGGGGAAUAUUGCACAAUGGGCGCAAGCCUGAUGCAGCCAUGCCGCGUGUGUGAAGAAGGCCUUCGGGUUGUAAAGCACUUUCAGUCGUGAGGAAGGUAGUGUAGUUAAUAGCUGCAUUAUUUGACGUUAGCGACAGAAGAAGCACCGGCUAACUCCGUGCCAGCAGCCGCGGUAAUACGGAGGGUGCGAGCGUUAAUCGGAAUUACUGGGCGUAAAGCGCAUGCAGGUGGUUUGUUAAGUCAGAUGUGAAAGCCCGGGGCUCAACCUCGGAAUUGCAUUUGAAACUGGCAGACUAGAGUACUGUAGAGGGGGGUAGAAUUUCAGGUGUAGCGGUGAAAUGCGUAGAGAUCUGAAGGAAUACCGGUGGCGAAGGCGGCCCCCUGGACAGAUACUGACACUCAGAUGCGAAAGCGUGGGGAGCAAACAGGAUUAGAUACCCUGGUAGUCCACGCCGUAAACGAUGUCUACUUGGAGGUUGUGGCCUUGAGCCGUGGCUUUCGGAGCUAACGCGUUAAGUAGACCGCCUGGGGAGUACGGUCGCAAGAUUAAAACUCAAAUGAAUUGACGGGGGCCCGCACAAGCGGUGGAGCAUGUGGUUUAAUUCGAUGCAACGCGAAGAACCUUACCUACUCUUGACAUCCAGAGAACUUUCCAGAGAUGGAUUGGUGCCUUCGGGAACUCUGAGACAGGUGCUGCAUGGCUGUCGUCAGCUCGUGUUGUGAAAUGUUGGGUUAAGUCCCGCAACGAGCGCAACCCUUAUCCUUGUUUGCCAGCGAGUAAUGUCGGGAACUCCAGGGAGACUGCCGGUGAUAAACCGGAGGAAGGUGGGGACGACGUCAAGUCAUCAUGGCCCUUACGAGUAGGGCUACACACGUGCUACAAUGGCGCAUACAGAGGGCAGCCAACUUGCGAGAGUGAGCGAAUCCCAAAAAAUGCGUCGUAGUCCGGAUCGGAGUCUGCAACUCGACUCCGUGAAGUCGGAAUCGCUAGUAAUCGUGGAUCAGAAUGCCACGGUGAAUACGUUCCCGGGCCUUGUACACACCGCCCGUCACACCAU
This 1261-nucleotide ribosomal RNA is filed under the name Vibrio sp. RNAcentral's name for it is "bacterial SSU rRNA". It matches the Rfam family "Bacterial small subunit ribosomal RNA", at positions 149 to 1405 of the family's 1533-position model. The record is from RNAcentral. Lineage: Bacteria; Pseudomonadati; Pseudomonadota; Gammaproteobacteria; Vibrionales; Vibrionaceae.